UGAAUGAUGCUGUGGAGCACCAUGAUGACCUGCAGGAGGAUACCCUUGUGGAGGAUAUCCUUGUUGUGGAGGAUAUCCUCCUUGCGGAGGAUAACCCUGCGGUGGAUACCCUUGCUGUGGAGGGUACCCUUGUUGAGGAGGGUACCCUUGAGGAGGAUACCCUUGCUGCGGAGGGUAACCACCGUGCUGUGGAGGAUACUGUCCUGGAUGUCCGUGAUGACCACCAGCAAGAUGACUCAUACCUCCCGCUAUAUUGCUAAAGAUUCCCUUAUCAGAAUCAUCCUUA
Molecule: long non-coding RNA, 286 nt
Filed under: Solanum lycopersicum (tomato)
Lineage: Eukaryota; Viridiplantae; Streptophyta; Magnoliopsida; Solanales; Solanaceae
Description: long non-coding RNA (SLYC_LNC000572)
Source: RNAcentral